RNAcentral lists this ribosomal RNA (442 nucleotides) under uncultured bacterium. Its description in RNAcentral is "partial 16S ribosomal RNA". It matches the Rfam family "Bacterial small subunit ribosomal RNA", at positions 338 to 795 of the family's 1533-position model. The record is from RNAcentral.
CCUACGGGAGGCAGCAGUGGGGAAUAUUGGGCAAUGGGCGCAAGCCUGACCCAGCAACGCCGCGUGAAGGAAGAAGGCUUUCGGGUUGUAAACUUCUUUUAAGGGGGAAGAGCAGAAGACGGUACCCCUUGAAUAAGCCACGGCUAACUACGUGCCAGCAGCCGCGGUAAUACGGAGGUGGCAAGCGUUGUCCGGAUUUACUGGGUGUAAAGGGCGUGCAGCCGGAGAGACAAGUCAGAUGUGAAAUCCACGGGCUCAACCCGUGAACUGCAUUUGAAACUGUUUCCCUUGAGUGUCGGAGAGGUAAUCGGAAUUCCAUGUGGAGCGGUGAAAUGCGUAGAUAUAAGGAAGAACACCAGUGGCGAAGGCGGAUUACUGGACGAUAACUGACGGUGAGGCGCGAAAGCGUGGGGAGCAAACAGGAUUAGAUACCCCUGUAGUC